UGUGCCUACGGGGGGCAGCAGUGGGGAAUUUUGGACAAUGGGCGCAAGCCUGAUCCAGCUAUUCCGCGUGUGGGAAGACGGCCUUCAGGUUGUAAACCACUUUUGUAGAGAACGAAAAGUCUGUUGAUAAUACCGAUAGACGAUGGCGGUACUCUAAGAAUAAGCACCGGCUAACUACGUGCCAGCAGCCGCGGUAAUACGUAGGGUGCGAGCGUUAAUCUGAAUUACUGGGCGUAAAGGGUGGGCAG
Molecule: ribosomal RNA, 248 nt
Filed under: uncultured bacterium
Lineage: Bacteria
Description: partial 16S ribosomal RNA
Rfam family: Bacterial small subunit ribosomal RNA
Source: RNAcentral